CAAUAGCGUAUUUUUUUGUUGUUGCAGUUAAAAAGCUCGUAGUUGUUUUUCUGGCCCACGGGCGCCGCCUUCGGGCUGGCAUCCCCGUGAGGCCAUCCGCAUGGGAACGUAGGUUGUUCUUUGCUGAUCGCUUACGGGAACAUGCAUUUUACUUUGAGGAAAUUAAAGUGUUUCAGGCAGGCUUUUGCUUGUAUACACCAGCAUGGAAUAAUGGAAUAGGACUUUUCCCAUUUUGUUGGUUAUUGGGUUAAGUAAUGAGAAAUAGAAACAGUUGGGGGUAUUCGUAUUCUACAGUCAGAGGUGAAAUUCUUGGAUUUGUAGAAGACGAACUAAAGCGAAAGCAUUUACCAAGGAUGUUUNCAUUAA
Molecule: ribosomal RNA, 366 nt
Filed under: uncultured eukaryote
Lineage: Eukaryota
Description: partial 18S ribosomal RNA
Rfam family: Eukaryotic small subunit ribosomal RNA
Source: RNAcentral